GAUUGAUGAAAAAUGUGUAUUUGAUCAAUUUUAGCAUAAGGAUGUAAUUUUAACAAAAUGUGGGAAAAGUCAAGAGCUCUGAAUACCUUUGAAUGCACUGUACAUAAUGUUUGUGUGUAACGUCCCUCCAACAAGAGAGGCCUUAGUCGUGUGCAUGGUAGCAUGGAUCUGUGCCUUUUGUUUUUUGUUUCUCAAAACAAAAUGGUGCUUCUUCCCUUUUCUCUGGCCAUUCACCUUAGUGACAGCAGCCCUUACAAAAAAAUAUUGUUUUGAAACUGCAGUAAAAGUGCAGUAACUGCAAUCGCCUGGUAUUUUUGACGGAGUAAUUGCUGAAUGCAGUUAUUCUGCACUCUAACUGCAGUUACACUGCAAAAUUACUGCAGUAAAAAAAAGUUGUAAUUUUGAAUGCAGUAUUUGCAGCAUACUGCAGUUAUACUGCAAAUGUUUUUCUUAAGGGAGGGUUUUUAAAAUGAACACUGCCUUUUUACUGAGACGCAUUGGAAUACUGUGCCAACAUACUUGCAAUCAAGACUCCAAUUCAAUCAAUGACAAAUCUGGACACCACAAUGUGGCUUCUCUCAGAAUGUUAACACUGUCACAGGUGUGGUUUGGCAUCAAUAUAGAACCAUGUCUGUGAAAACCGCUCAUUGGGGUGUUGAUUUAAACUUGAUUCACACUUGCGAUAUAGAAAAACAAUUCUGAAUUAAACCCCAAUGCAGUUUAACUUUAACUGCAACUGAUUUAAAAGGGGUCUUGUGUUAACCUUUGGGUAAACCAGCUUAAACUGUUUUGAAUAGCAUCCCACGGGGCCACACUGGUUGAAUCAACAUUGUUUCCACGUCAGUUCAAUGAAAUUACGUUGAACCAGAGUGGAAUAGACAUCGAAUUGAUGUCUGUGACCAGUGGGCUACUUUUACGAUGUCAAACAUAAAUCAGGGCUUUUGUAAUGCAUUUGUGUAAAAUAUGACAGGAUACUCCCUCCCACUUUACAAAGUAUGUGUUUCUGUGUGUAGAAGGAUUUGCUAUGAAUGAUUCUAGCUUUAUAGUAUCGUGUAAGAUAUGUUGCAACCAGUUGCUUGGUUAACUUUUUUUACAAUGCUUGUUCCGCUUGAUAGUUAGAGACAGCGCACCACUACAUUAUUUGUUGCUUGUUUACACAAAUAUUUCAUUGCUACAUUUGGACUUCAUGGUUUCAAGUGAAUCGCCUAUUCCCCUCAGACUCACCUCUGGACCUCGAAACCAGUUCCACUGCUUUUUUCAUUGUUCCCCUCUAAUCAGGGACUGAUUUUAGACCUGUGAAACCAGGUGUGUGCAAUUAAUUAUCAAGUAGAACAGAAAACCAGC
Long non-coding RNA from Oncorhynchus tshawytscha (Chinook salmon), 1344 nucleotides. Lineage: Eukaryota; Metazoa; Chordata; Actinopteri; Salmoniformes; Salmonidae. The record is from Ensembl.